UACGGGAGGGGCAAGCGUUAUCCGGCAUAACUGGGCGUAAAGAGUCCGUAGACUGUAAAAUAAGUUGCUUGUUAAAACUUAAAGCUUAACUUUAAAAUGGCUUGCAAUACUGUUUUACUUGAGUUUUAUGCAGAAGAGUAGAAUUUUAUACGAAAGGGUAAAAUCUGAAAAUAUAUAAAGGAAUACCAGUAGCGAAGGCGACUCUUUGGUAAAAACUGACGUUGAGGGACGAAAGUAUGGGUAGCAAACAGG
Molecule: ribosomal RNA, 252 nt
Filed under: uncultured bacterium
Lineage: Bacteria
Description: partial 16S ribosomal RNA
Rfam family: Bacterial small subunit ribosomal RNA
Source: RNAcentral